AAGACUUUAAGUUAACGAAACUAAUAUCCUUCAAAGCUAUCAAUGAAAGAAGACCUUUUAAGUCUUA
This 67-nucleotide transfer RNA is filed under the name Japyx solifugus. RNAcentral's name for it is "tRNA-Trp". The record is from RNAcentral. Lineage: Eukaryota; Metazoa; Arthropoda; Diplura; Dicellurata; Japygidae.